UGGGGAAUAUUGGACAAUGGGCGAAAGCCUGAUCCAGCCAUGCCGCGUGUGUGAAGAAGGUCUUCGGAUUGUAAAGCACUUUAAGUUGGGAGGAAGGGCAUUAACCUAAUACGUUAGUGUUUUGACGUUACCGACAGAAUAAGCACCGGCUAACUCUGUGCCAGCAGCCGCGGUAAUACAGAGGGUGCAAGCGUUAAUCGGAAUUACUGGGCGUAAAGCGCGCGUAGGUGGUUUGUUAAGUUGGAUGUGAAAUCCCCGGGCUCAACCUGGGAACUGCAUUCAAAACUGACAGACUAGAGUAUGGUAGAGGGUGGUGGAAUUUCCUGUGUAGCGGUGAAAUGCGUAGAUAUAGGAAGGAACACCAGUGGCGAAGGCGACCACCUGGACUAAUACUGACACUGAGGUGCGAAAGCGUGGGGAGCAAACA
This 427-nucleotide ribosomal RNA is filed under the name uncultured bacterium. RNAcentral describes it as "partial 16S ribosomal RNA". It matches the Rfam family "Bacterial small subunit ribosomal RNA", at positions 355 to 774 of the family's 1533-position model. The record is from RNAcentral.